RNAcentral lists this ribosomal RNA (497 nucleotides) under uncultured bacterium. RNAcentral's name for it is "partial 16S ribosomal RNA". It matches the Rfam family "Bacterial small subunit ribosomal RNA", at positions 28 to 507 of the family's 1533-position model. The record is from RNAcentral.
GAUGAACGCUGGCGGCGUGCCUAAUACAUGCAAGUCGAGCGAACAGACGAGGAGCUUGCUCCUCUGACGUUAGCGGCGGACGGGUGAGUAACACGUGGAUAACCUACCUAUAAGACUGGGAUAACUUCGGGAAACCGGAGCUAAUACCGGAUAAUAUAUUGAACCGCAUGGUUCAAUAGUGAAAGACGGUUUUGCUGUCACUUAUAGAUGGAUCCGCGCCGCAUUAGCUAGUUGGUAAGGUAACGGCUUACCAAGGCAACGAUGCGUAGCCGACCUGAGAGGGUGAUCGGACACACUGGAACUGAGACAAGGUCCAGACUCCUACGGGAGGCAGCAGUAGGGAAUCUUCCGCAAUGGGCGAAAGCCUGACGGAGCAACGCCGCGUGAGUGAUGAAGGUCUUCGGAUCGUAAAACUCUGUUAUUAGGGAAGAACAAAUGUGUAAGUAACUAUGCACGUCUUGACGGUACCUAAUCAGAAAGCCACGGCUAACUACGUG